UUUCUGCCAUCAACCAAAAAGGCAUAAGUUCGACGGAGCUGUUGAUAUUGUCUGUCAAUUGAGGUGCUGGCACUCAGUUAUAAAGCAACCGUUCUGAUCUUAUGAACUAGAUAUGCAAAGCACGGCACGUAACGUACAGUAAUUCAGCCAGACGACUAGCAAUCUACAACUGGUAAGAAAAUUGAAUGUCAUGCACGCAGUUUUUAUCUAAGAGAGUAGUGAAUAUGAGAUGAAAUGGAGGCUUAAUCACUAUGCUAGGCUUUACACAUUGGAUGACACAAUUUCUUUUUACUUUUCAGAAUGCUUCCUUAUGAAACAAAUGCUCUACAGAUGCAAGAAAGAUUUUAGGAAAUUCCCCAUGGAGAUCAAAACUAUUUGCUGCCAUUUCUGCCAAACGAAAAUGCUGAAACCAUACCUGGAUUGAUCUCGUAGCAGCUCAGAAAAGUUCCAAAGAUUGAUCAACCUCUGUGCAAUUCAUGGCCAGAUGAGCUAGGUAGUUUCUUAGGUGUGGAGAUGGAGGGUGGAAGUUUGCAUGGCUGAUGCUCCACAUUUUAUGGUCUGCCUCUAGUGGUUUUGGUCGUUUUGUGUGUUGAAAUAGUCCUAGGAACUGUGCCGGUGGACAGGGCAUUCUGAUCGUCUGGUUCUUGUGCUUCCAUGGGCUGUAAAUUUGACAGGAGUUCCAUUAAUAGUGAGAAGGGCUUUUAGGAAGGCAUUUCAUUAGUCAUUGUCUAUUAACGGCAGGUGUUGGUUACUUCGAUUCACUAUCUACAUGUUGCAUGUUUGGCAAACCAUCCUCAGAUUCAAUAUUGACCUGCAAGUCUGUAAGAGUUUAUGCUAAGGAAUAUUUGAUCCAAUGUGCCAUGGUUCUGAGAUAUUUGUACUGAUUGGAGUUGGAUUUUGUUCAGUACCUGAUCCUGAUGUGAUGAAUACAGCAAGCAUCUAAUCUUACUUCUUUUCUCUUCAAAUUGAAGGAGGGAUAAGUGUUUUAACUGAAUAUUUCCUUAAAGUGGUGUAUAAACACUGCAAGGACAUGAACAGAAUAUGUAAAAAUGGCUCAAUGCGUUGCUAACUGGAAUGUGGAUUAGUAAUCCAUCUCUACAUUGAUAAGAUAUAACAUCACAUCACUUAACAUGCCAUAUAUUUCUUUGAUUCUUUCCCUGUUGGGUACUUGGAGUGUAUUUGCUAGGUAAUGCACCACAGACUUCUUAUAUGGGAAUAGUUCAUAUUGUUAUCGGCUCUCUUUCACAUCAUGAACUAUUUACAGUUCUCCGGUUUAUUUUCAAUGCGGGUCGAACCUAUGGUUACCGGAUGGUUGAAUGCUAUUAACGAGAAUAGGAAUUCGCUUUUCUUAACAAUAGGACUUGGAGAUUUUUUUGGUUCAUCAUGCUAUGGCUUUAGGUUUGCAUACAGCUACAUUUGAUUUUAGUAAAGGGUGCUUUAGAUGCAUGUGAUUCCAAAAUAAUGCACCAAUAUUUGGCACCAAGGACAUCGUCGUCAUAUCAAUAGGAACAUCCGGUGUUAAAAAUAAUUUGAGACAGAGUUCAGUUUGCUGAAAAAUCAGACCUUCUAUAGGUUUUUAUUUCGGAACUUCUGAUUGAUAAUCUUUCAUUUGAUUUAUUUUAAUCAAACAAAGAGCUCGACUC
RNAcentral lists this long non-coding RNA (1643 nucleotides) under Oryza sativa (Asian cultivated rice). RNAcentral's name for it is "long non-coding RNA (OSAT_LNC000348)". The record is from RNAcentral. Lineage: Eukaryota; Viridiplantae; Streptophyta; Magnoliopsida; Poales; Poaceae.